UUGGACUGAUUUUUGACUCAUUUUUUCAGAUAUUUUGUUCAUGUAAUGAGAACUCAUCUUAUUCUCUCUUCUCUCUAGAACCUUCUCAUAAAUCUGGGUUUACAUUCAUGGUAUUUGAGAGCUUUCAGCUUCAUUCCAUGUUUUCAUGGUAUCAAAGCCUCGAGAUUCUGAGAGAUCUGCUUAUCAUAUGUUGAGCGGUGGUACCCUAGGUCAUUUUUUGCCAAUUAUUUCUGCGUGAUUUUGGUAUUUGCUGCGUGUAUUUUGUGGAUUUUUGUUUGUGGAGCUUCGAACAUGGCUGGUUUUCCCUUCGAUUGAAUUUUUUGUGGAUUGCAUUUAUUUCGGCAGUGUUGAACAAGGCUCACUUCAUCGAGUUUUGAAGAAGACCGGGCCAUUCUCUGAAGAGGCCACUGGAAGUUGGUAAACUCUCCAAUGGACUAUACAUACUUUAGCUGAAUGGUUCCACUUAACAAGACAUUACUGAUGGUGGUCCUGAUGUUUCCUCCGCAGUUUCUUCUUCUGUUCCUUUUACUGCUGAUCCUGUUUCCACUCCCAAUCCAAGAAUCCCGUGUUUCAUGAACGUACGAAGCACAUAGAGGUAGACUGCCAUUUUGUUCGGGUGGCUCUUACUGCUGGGCUGAUUUCUUUGCAAUAUGUUCCCACUGCUCUACAACUGGCUGAUAUUCUUAUGAAGCCCUUGACUGGUGUUCAACACAACAACUUGCUUUCCAAGCUGGGACUGGUUUCCAUCUCGCCGGGGGAUAUUAGAAAUAAUAUAGUUGGGCUUCAGCCUCCUUAGCCUAUUGUUUAUUACAUAUUGGGCCUGAUCUUUAAUGUUUGUAUCCGGUCCAUUUCCUUUAUCAAGUGUUAAGUACAUGUAUGUGUGUAUUGAAGUAGUUGGACUGUUUUUUGACUCAUUUUCAUGUAAUUAGAACUCAUCUUCUUCUCUCCUCUCUAGAACCUUCUCAUAAAUCUGGGUUUACAUUCAUGGUA
Long non-coding RNA from Capsicum annuum, 990 nucleotides. RefSeq lists it as uncharacterized. NCBI's taxonomy places the organism in Eukaryota, Viridiplantae, Streptophyta, Magnoliopsida, Solanales, Solanaceae. The transcript is spliced from 3 exons. The record is from RefSeq and is a predicted model, not a curated record.